RNAcentral lists this ribosomal RNA (440 nucleotides) under uncultured bacterium. RNAcentral describes it as "partial 16S ribosomal RNA". It matches the Rfam family "Bacterial small subunit ribosomal RNA", at positions 338 to 795 of the family's 1533-position model. The record is from RNAcentral.
CCUACGGGUGGCAGCAGUGGGGGAUAUUGCACAAUGGGGGGAACCCUGAUGCAGCGACGCCGCGUGGGUGAAGAAGCGCCUCGGCGCGUAAAGCCCUGUCAGCAGGGAAGAAAAUGACGGUACCUGAAGAAGAAGCCCCGGCUAACUACGUGCCAGCAGCCGCGGUAAUACGUAGGGGGCAAGCGUUAUCCGGAUUUACUGGGUGUAAAGGGAGCGUAGACGGCUGUGCAAGUCUGAAGUGAAAGCCCAGGGCUCAACCCUGGGACUGCUUUGGAAACUGUGGAGCUAGAGUGCUGGAGAGGUAAGUGGAAUUCCUAGUGUAGCGGUGAAAUGCGUAGAUAUUAGGAGGAACACCAGUGGCGAAGGCGGCUUACUGGACAGUAACUGACGUUGAGGCUCGAAAGCGUGGGGAGCAAACAGGAUUAGAUACCCCAGUAGUC